CCUACGGGAGGCAGCAGUAGGGAAUUUUCGUCAAUGGGCGCAAGCCUGAACGAGCACUGCCGCGUGAACGAGGAAGGUCUUCGGAUCGUAAAGUUCUGUUGAAGGGGAAAAAGAGCGGAGAGAGGAAAUGUUCUCCGAUUGAUAUUACCCUUCAGGGAAGUCCCGGCUAACUACGUGCCAGCAGCCGCGGUAAUACGUAGGUGGCGAGCGUUAUCCGGAAUGAUUGGGCGUAAAGGGUGCGUAGGCGGCCUGCUAAGUCUGGAGUAAAAGGUACCGGAUCAACCGGUACAGGCUCUGGAAACUGGCGGGCUAGAGAGCAGGAGAGGGCGGUGGAACUCCAUGUGUAGCGGUAAAAUGCGUAGAUAUAUGGAAGAACACCAGUGGCGAAGGCGGCCGCCUGGCCUGUUACUGACGCUGAGGCACGAAAGCGUGGGGAGCAAAUAGGAUUAGAUACCCUAGUAGUC
This 464-nucleotide ribosomal RNA is filed under the name uncultured bacterium. RNAcentral describes it as "partial 16S ribosomal RNA". It matches the Rfam family "Bacterial small subunit ribosomal RNA", at positions 338 to 795 of the family's 1533-position model. The record is from RNAcentral.